AGGAGAGUUGCCCAGCGCUGCUAUGACUGAGAGGGAGAGAGAACAGAGGCACACUGCUGAUGAAAAUUGUUCCAUUUGUUAAAGAAGAAAAAAGAGGAAAAAACAUCUUGGAGUGCUUUCUCUGUCAGGGGAAAUGAAGCAAGCCAGAUGGGCUAGGCAAAGAAAGGAGAAAGAUUUUGAGUGGUGAAACUCAUCAAGUACAAGUCCACAACUCCUCCUCCAACAUCCUCGAAGACAGAAGUGUUUCAGCAUCCCAAAUGGUCUGGGGAUUUUCAAAACACAUCUCUUCGCCACGCACUUGCCAAAGCCAGAGGGAAGGAGGCUGGGAAGACAGCUCUUGUUGCCCUGCACUUCUCUGAUCAGCAGCCCAGCAGCACUGCCCCUGAGUUAAGAUACCAUCAUCAUUCAAGUGUGGUUGAGUGAGCAGGUUUGAAAAGGAAUGAUGGACAGCACCAGCUUGCCACCUUCUGUCUCCAUGCUAAUUGCCUUCAGGAUCCUGCCUCUUAUGUCUAGAUGUAAUUUUCUUCUUCCUGCUGUGCACAAACAUCAUCACCUUUUAAGUUCCUGUCCCUAGACUCAGGAGAUUAUGAAGAGAGUGUAAGAGAGUUGCCCAUGCUCCUUCUAGUCAAGCCUUUUGUUCAGAAUAACUCUUCUCAUUUCAUCUGACUAAUGGUGGAGUUAUUGUUUUCACACAUCCUACACAUCUCCAUCCCUGCGUCCCUAAUUUCCUUCUAGAUAGUCCUCCUAAGAUAAUGCUCUCUCACUUCAAAUUACAGAUGAGCUCAUAAUAGUCUCCUUAAAAUUGGCUUCCCUCCAGUCCUCU
This 823-nucleotide long non-coding RNA is filed under the name Equus caballus (horse). Its description in RNAcentral is "lncRNA (ENSECAG00000051571.1)". Lineage: Eukaryota; Metazoa; Chordata; Mammalia; Perissodactyla; Equidae. The record is from RNAcentral.